AGGCAGUGUCUUGUUAGCUGGUAGUUUCUUCCUGUGCCAGCUCACCUGCUGCUGCCCUC
Astatotilapia calliptera (eastern happy) is the source of this 59-nucleotide microRNA precursor. The record is from Ensembl. NCBI's taxonomy places the organism in Eukaryota, Metazoa, Chordata, Actinopteri, Cichliformes, Cichlidae.